UUGAACGCUGGCGGCAGGCCUAACACAUGCUAGUCGAACGGUAACAGGAAGAAGCUUGCUUCUUUGCUGACGAGUGGCGGACGGGUGAGUAAUGUCUGGGAAACUGCCUGAUGGAGGGGGAUAACUACUGGAAACGGUAGCUAAUACCGCAUAACGUCGCAAGACCAAAGAGGGGGACCUUCGGGCCUCUUGCCAUCGGAUGUGCCCAGAUGGGAUUAGCUUGUUGGUGGGGUAACGGCUCACCAAGGCGACGAUCCCUAGCUGGUCUGAGAGGAUGACCAGCCACACUGGAACUGAGACACGGUCCAGACUCCUACGGGAGGCAGCAGUGGGGAAUAUUGCACAAUGGGCGCAAGCCUGAUGCAGCCAUGCCGCGUGUAUGAAGAAGGCCUUCGGGUUGUAAAGUACUUUCAGCGGGGAGGAAGGGAGUAAAGUUAAUACCUUUGCUCAUUGACGUUACCCGCAGAAGAAGCACCGGCUAACUCCGUGCCAGCAGCCGCGGUAAUACGGAGGGUGCAAGCGUUAAUCGGAAUUACUGGGCGUAAAGCGCACGCAGGCGGUUUGUUAAGUCAGAUGUGAAAUCCCCGGGCUCAACCUGGGAACUGCAUCUGAUACUGGCAAGCUUGAGUCUCGUAGAGGGGGGUAGAAUUCCAGGUGUAGCGGUGAAAUGCGUAGAGAUCUGGAGGAAUACCGGUGGCGAAGGCGGCCCCCUGGACGAAGACUGACGCUCAGGUGCGAAAGCGUGGGGAGCAAAAAGGAUUAGAUACCCUGGUAGUCCACGCCGUAAACGAUGUCGACUUGGAGGUUGUGCCCUUGAGGCGUGGCUUCCGGAGCUAACGCGUUAAGUCGACCGCCUGGGGAGUACGGCCGCAAGGUUAAAACUCAAAUGAAUUGACGGGGGCCCGCACAAGCGGUGGAGCAUGUGGUUUAAUUCGAUGCAACGCGAAGAACCUUACCUGGUCCUGACAUCCACGGAAGUUUUCAGAGAUGAGAAUGUGCCUUCGGGAACCGUGAGACAGGUGCUGCAUGGCUGUCGUCAGCUCGUGUUGUGAAAUGUUGGGUUAAGUCCCGCAACGAGCGCAACCCUUAUCCUUUGUUGCCAGCGGUCCGGCCGGGAACUCAAAGGAGACUGCCAGUGAUAAACUGGAGGAAGGUGGGGAUGACGUCAAGUCAUCAUGGCCCUUACGACCAGGGCUACACACGUGCUACAAUGGCGCAUACAAAGAGAAGCGACCUCGCGAGAGCAAGCGGACCUCAUAAAGUGCGUCGUAGUCCGGAUUGGAGUCUGCAACUCGACUCCAUGAAGUCGGAAUCGCUAGUAAUCGUGGAUCAGAAUGCCACGGUGAAUACGUUCCCGGGCCUUGUACACACCGCCCGUCACACCAUGGGAGUGGGUUGCAAAAGAAGUAGGUAGCUUAACCUUCGGGAGGGCGCUUACCACUUUGUGAUUCAU
This 1453-nucleotide ribosomal RNA is filed under the name uncultured bacterium. RNAcentral describes it as "bacterial SSU rRNA". It matches the Rfam family "Bacterial small subunit ribosomal RNA". The record is from RNAcentral.